This 167-nucleotide ribosomal RNA is filed under the name uncultured rumen bacterium. Its description in RNAcentral is "partial 16S ribosomal RNA". It matches the Rfam family "Bacterial small subunit ribosomal RNA", at positions 340 to 524 of the family's 1533-position model. The record is from RNAcentral.
UACGGGAGGCAGCAGUGGGGAAUAUUGCGCAAUGGGGGAAACCCUGACGCAGCAACGCCGCGUGAGUGAAGAAGUAUUUCGGUAUGUAAAGCUCUAUCAGCGGGGACGAAAUUGACGGUACCCGCAGAAGAAGUCCCGGCUAACUACGUGCCAGCAGCCGCGGUAAU